Long non-coding RNA from Amphibalanus amphitrite, 952 nucleotides. RefSeq lists it as uncharacterized. The record is from RefSeq and is a predicted model, not a curated record. The transcript has 4 exons. NCBI's taxonomy places the organism in Eukaryota, Metazoa, Arthropoda, Thecostraca, Balanomorpha, Balanidae.
ACGCAAGGCAGUAUACCAUAUUUUAUACCGUGGAGUUCUAUAGCCUUGCCGUGGCUGUUAUCCGAAAUCGGGGCAUUUUUGUUGGAACAAAUAGUAAAUACCUAUAACAACGAUGAAGAAGUGCGUGAUCCGCGGAGCAAACGACCUACGUCGGGUCGGGACUGAUAUGCGUGUGACUGUGCACCAGUUCCCGCAAAAAAAAGAAGUACAGAGAAAAGUGGAUGAGGGUGUGUGGCAUGACCAAUGAGCCAAGACCACAUGACCACUUAAACUUAACAAGAAGUGCGCACCAUGAUAAGCACAGUCAAAAACGUUUGCGUCUAAAGAACAGUGCUGUGCCGGAUCAGAAUAUUCCGUAUACGCCUUGGGUUGCUGUCGCUGCUCGGUCACCCACAGAUGAAAGUGAUCAAGAAAUGGACAUCACUCAGGUGUGGGAUCACUCGUGGAAGUUCACGGCGGAUACGGAGCCGUGCAUGCAGCUCUGGUUCGAUCCUGCUCAGGGAAGCCCCAAUGACGCCGUGGCGCGCAUCUGGCGGCAGCGGCCCGCUCCUGACCCGGUCGCCCUGUGCCGAGCACAGAGCGCCGACUGAUGUCAGUCUUGUGAUCGAGCUUCCGCGCCGGAGGUGGAACAGGUGGAGCUGGCGGUCACCUGCGCGGGCACGGCGGCCUGUAAGCCGUGCCGAGACGAACCGCGACUCUUGCUAGAUCUGCACCCCAUUGUAAUCUUCUGUAGUCGAUAUUCGGUAGGUACUCAAUGCUCAUUUUUCUGAUAUUAGACGAGUGGCGUGUUUUGAUGUUACAUUGGAGACUGCUGUCUCGGGUGGCCCGACAGUGUUCGAUUGUGGUGUAAUGUAGAUACAUAGACGGGAUGCCGCGGCUCGGAUUCGUAGCUGGACUACCAUGUGCCUGUCGAUUGAGAUGCUUUGCCUGGCGAUUGAGAUGAUUCAGGGCG